GAUGAACGCUGGCAGCGUGCCUAAUACAUGCAAGUCGAGCGAACAGACGAGGAGCUUGCUCCUCUGACGUUAGCGGCGGACGGGUGAGUAACACGUGGAUAACCUACCUAUAAGACUGGGAUAACUUCGGGAAACCGGAGCUAAUACCGGAUAAUAUAUUGAACCGCAUGGUUCAAUAGUGAAAGACGGUUUUGCUGUCACUUAUAGAUGGAUCCGCGCCGCAUUAGCUAGUUGGUAAGGUAACGGCUUACCAAGGCGACGAUGCGUAGCCGACCUGAGAGGGUGAUCGGCCACACUGGAACUGAGACACGGUCCAGACUCCUACGGGAGGCAGCAGUAGGGAAUCUUCCGCAAUGGGCGAAAGCCUGACGGAGCAACGCCGCGUGAGUGUUGAAGGUCUUCGGAUCGUAAAACUCUGUUAUUAGGGAAGAACAAAUGUGUAAGUAACUAUGCACGUCUUGACGGUACCUAAUCAGAAAGCCACGGCUAACUACGUG
This 497-nucleotide ribosomal RNA is filed under the name uncultured bacterium. RNAcentral's name for it is "partial 16S ribosomal RNA". It matches the Rfam family "Bacterial small subunit ribosomal RNA", at positions 28 to 507 of the family's 1533-position model. The record is from RNAcentral.